This 72-nucleotide transfer RNA is filed under the name Ovis aries (sheep). It matches the Rfam family "tRNA". Rfam says of the family: Transfer RNA (tRNA) molecules are approximately 80 nucleotides in length. Their secondary structure includes four short double-helical elements and three loops (D, anti-codon, and T loops). Further hydrogen bonds mediate the characteristic L-shaped molecular structure. tRNAs have two regions of fundamental functional importance: the anti-codon, which is responsible for specific mRNA codon recognition, and the 3' end, to which the tRNAs corresponding amino acid is attached (by aminoacyl-tRNA synthetases). tRNAs cope with the degeneracy of the genetic code in two manners: having more than one tRNA (with a specific anti-codon) for a particular amino acid; and 'wobble' base-pairing, i.e. permitting non-standard base-pairing at the 3rd anti-codon position. Lineage: Eukaryota; Metazoa; Chordata; Mammalia; Artiodactyla; Bovidae. The record is from Rfam by way of RNAcentral.
UCCCAGGUGGCUCAUUGGUAAAGAAUCUGCCUACCAAUGCAGUAGAUGUGGGUUUGAUUCCUGGCCUGGGAA